This 500-nucleotide ribosomal RNA is filed under the name uncultured bacterium. Its description in RNAcentral is "bacterial SSU rRNA". It matches the Rfam family "Bacterial small subunit ribosomal RNA", at positions 8 to 507 of the family's 1533-position model. The record is from RNAcentral.
AGAGUUUGAUCCUGGCUCAGGAUUAACGCUGGCGGUAUGCCUAACACAUGCAAGUCGAACGGAAUACUAAUUAAGAGAAUCUCACACUAGUGAGAGGGUUCUCACGAGUAGUAUUUAGUGGCGGACGGGUGAGUAACACGUUGGAACCUGCCCCGAAGUGGGGAAUAACUGCUCGAAAGAGUAGCUAAUACCCCAUAGUAUCCGGUUUAUCCGGAUUAAAGAUUUAUCGCUUCGGGAGGGGCCUGCGUCUGAUUAGCUAGUUGGUGAGGUAAAAGCUCACCAAGGCGACGAUCAGUAGCUGGUUCGAGAGGAUGACCAGCCACACUGGGACUGAGAUACGGCCCAGACUCCUACGGGAGGCAGCAGUGAGGAAUCUUCCACAAUGGGCGCAAGCCUGAUGGAGCAAUACCGCGUGCAGGAAGACGCUUUCGGAGUGUAAACUGCUUUUGUCGUCGAAGAUUAUGACUGUAGACGAAGAAUAAGGACCGGCUAACUACGUG